This is a long non-coding RNA of Homo sapiens (human), 3726 nucleotides long. RefSeq lists it as uncharacterized. NCBI's taxonomy places the organism in Eukaryota, Metazoa, Chordata, Mammalia, Primates, Hominidae. The transcript has 3 exons. The record is from RefSeq and is marked validated.
AGUUGGGCUCAGAACCUGCGAGGAUGGCAGCGGUGUCCAGCAGUGAAGACUGAAGGUGUCCACAGCUGUGAUAGGGGCUUCUGGGUCCUCUUGCUUGCUUUUCUUCACAGGAAGAAGUCCCUCCUAGCUCCUAGGGGGUUUGAUUGUGAGCGGCAAGGGUGUGGCAGAGAUUAUGCUCCAAGACACUGAAUCUGAAAGGAUGCAUCCAGUCUUGCCAAGUGGUUUCACUACCAAGGCCAGUCUCCAUCUAUGAUAGACCCAAGGAAGAUCAUUUACAACUAGAAUCUAGUCAUUUAGGAGAUUGUGUGCUCCCUGGAUGGGCCAUCUGCACUGGUGUGAGGUUUAUCUCAUUGAAGGGAAAACCAAAGGAAUCUUCUUGAAUAUCAGCACCAGGAAGAGCAGUACAAACUGGAGAAGCUGGGGUCAUUGUUGAGAGACAAAAUGAGAUCAUGUCUGGGAAAAUACUUCUAAAUUAUCAACUCCCUUUCUAUGGAAGAGGAUGACCAAAGAAGGAUGCACUCCUUGUCUGGAAUUAUGCCAGAGGUCUUAAAAUGCUCAGAAAUGAAAUCAGCCUUCUUCCCUGUCCUAAGAGGCUCAGGUUUUCGGCAAGUAACUCAUAAAAUUAAUGCUCCACUGAAAAUAAAAUCUGAUUUGAGUAGUAUCAGCACUUAGAAGACCUUUGGAGGCCGGGGGUAUUUUCUCUUUUACAAUGCUGUGAACAACAUUCACUCCUGGAAAACACUCCAAUGUCUUACAUCUUGAGGCUGUGGGGAUUUUUUUUUCUUUUGGUUUAAAUGUUGCCUUUCCUAUCUUUCUGCAUAUCAAUUUUUCCCCUGCCCAAGUCACAGGCUUGGUAGUAACCAUCAUGUUUACUGCUGUUCCUUCACAUGUGGUUCUCUGAGGCUUCUGAGCACCAGAAUUUUAUUAAACAGAGCUACUCACACCAUAAAGAUGGAAUUCUGCCAGAUCUGAAUCAUAGAAUAACACCAGAAUUGACUUCAGAAAUCAUCUUCUCUAAAGAUUUGCAAGAUUUUUAAACAGCACAUGCCUUUGUAAAAUGAAAUCAUCAGUGGAACACCGUAUAUAAAAUAAAAUUAAUAAAAACUACUAUGGCUGGAGAGGUGAAACUCUAACAUAUUACACAGUCUCCUGGGUUUUUUUGCAGAUAUUAAGGAUCCACUGAACCAUUUGAAAACUACCCUAUAUACUCCCCCUUUCCAGUGCUUCAGUCCCUUCUAUAGUAAUCACCACUGGAUUGUUCAGUCUUUCAAUAUUUUCAGUGGUGCCUAUCCUCCCAAGAAAGGCCAUCUUAAUUUGGGACAGCUUUAACUGUCUAUUUGGAAAAUCAUUCUUAUAUUUUAAUGGUCUCCUUGUAACCUCUAUUUAUUGUUACUAGAACAGAACUAGACUGUGCUCUAUUCCAUCUAAGUAUUGGGGUCAAUGAUCAUAUUCCUCCACAAACUUAUAGUUUUUUUACAAACUAAAUAUCCCCUGAUUUUUUCAACUUUAUCACAGUGUGAGAAUAUGUGGGCCUAAUCUCUUUAUUCUAAUUUCUUUCCUUUGAACUUGCUUCACUUUGUCAAUGUCAGUUUUAAUUUGUGUGCCUAGAACUGUAAAAAGUAAUCCCUAUGUUGACUGUAAUCAUCAACUCUUUCACUUUGAACAUUCUACCCCUGUUAAUUUGGCCUAUAAUUGAAUUUGAUUUGGGGAAAACUUGUCGGAGCUUAGCCAACUAAAUCCCCAAUAUCAUCCUUGAAUAUGCUACUGCAGAACCAAAUCUCCCAUAUUACAAACUUUUAAAAUUGUUUUAAUGACUUCAUGUGGUCAUUUUCCUUUGCCAUGGCUUUUAAAGUCACAUGGUUCUAUUAGAAAGAUUUCUAGGUCUCUUGUCAUUUCUAGAAUCUGGUUUGUUGGAUUUGGCAAAUCAAUAUCUGUAUAUUUGUUCACUUUUUAUUCUGUCAAUCGCAAACAUGCCAUCUGCUUAAUAAUUUCCCACAGAUCUUUAUUGAUAUAUAUUUUGUUGGGAAAGAAUUUAUCAUUUUAGAUCCAGAAUAUGUAAUCAUAGCUGUCCAUUUAUAUCUGACCAUAAAGAACUUUCCUACUAUAGAAUUUUUGAGAUUUGGUGAGGGCUAACUAGAAGGCUGAAAGGAUAGGAAAGCUGCUGAGUUUAUUUGGUUACACACCAAUGGUCCUGUAAGUCUGUAAUUUCAAAAAUCUACCCGAAAACAAGGGAUUGUAUCCACUGUUAAAUGGAUGAAGUUUUAAGCAUCAGAAAAUCAGUCUGAAUUUUCAUUAUUCCCUAGAAAUUUUCUCAACUUUGUGAGUUUCAUCCAGGUACUUUGCCGUUCUUGAACAUAUUUUCAUGUGGUUUUAUAAUAUUUAUUCAACAUUAUUUUCCAUUAGUUCUCUAAUUUUAAUUGUUGGUAAGCAUUUCGAUGUGUAGCUAUUACAUGGUGCAGAACUGAUUUAUCCACGUUAAUGUCUGAGGAGACCAUGACCCAUUUUAUCUGCUGCGUGGUCAGCCCUGGUAUUCAUGGCAGGUUGUCUGAAUAUUUCUGAUGAAGUCUUUAAGUACAUGUAAUUCUGAAAACACAUUCCCAUUCAGUAAGACUUAUACAGGAUGGUAAGCCUAACAUGGCAAAAGGUUUCUAAAAAAUUCCAUAAACAUUAAGCAUAUUUAUGUCAUAGCAUUAAGUUUGGUCAAUUUGAAACUUACCGUAUUGUAGUAUAAGAGGCAUUUUGUUUGCUUGUGUUUACUUUCCCAGGAGUAAAUGCGUUUUGGUUAACCACAAUGGCAAACUUAGUCAAGACAUUUAUGUCAACAAAUCCUACUGCUUAACAAAGUCACAUUCUUAGUUUCUGGGACAGCAGACUGGAUUCUAAGUAAUAAGGUGUUUAUAAGGUGUGCUGUAAAUCUGGGACUAUAAACAUGUCUACUUUUCUGUUAAACCUGCUGCUGUGCGUGAGGUACAAUAAGCUCUCUUUUCAGUUUUAUGGUGGCCAGUAUGUUGGCUUGCCAGUCUUGAUUGCUGUUGAUUCUACUGUUCCCAAAGCCUCCUGCCAAGCUCUUGACCCAAGUCACGCUCCCUGGUGAUGUCAUAAUGCUGCUACGAAUUUGCUCAUUCACUGUACCUGCAGGGAUGCCCCAAGAGUCACAUACCUUCCCUGUUAGUCACUCGUUGGAGAAUAACACCUUGAAAUGAGCAGGGCCUCUCCUUCCCCUGAUUUCAAAGCCAUUACAUUUUCAGAAUUUUCAUAAUGAGUUUAUAGAUACAGUAAGAUGACUAUUACCUUUAUGGAAAUUAUUUUUAAUUUGUUUUUUUCUCAAAAAUAACACUAUUAAUUUUGUUUGGACCAAAAAAAUUUUCUCCACAUUCAUAAGCAAAAUUUAUUUCAAUUAAACACAUAUUUAUGAAAUACAGUGCCUGGUAUUUGAAAUCAUCACCAUUGUUAUGUAUGCCAAAUAUCUGGAGGAAAAGAAGAGAAAGUGGUCAUAGAUCUGAAUAUUUAAAUUACAUGAUGUUGAAUACAUCUAUUUGGAAAAAUCUUAUUAAUUCUAAAUUCUUUACUUUUUACCCAAAUAUUGGGCAUUUAUAUAGAUAUAGCUUGCAUCUUGCCUUACUUUACAAUUUAAUUCCCCCUACCAAAUUGCUCAAACCAUACUUCUCCAAAGAUUCUAUGAGUUAGACCAAAUAUAAAAACAAAAACAAACAAACAAACAAAAAA